CAAGGGGAACUACUCCCAUUAUUUCCGUUCUUCAAACAGCAAAUGAAACUAGUUUAUAGGCAAAUUCGUAAGUAAUUCUCUCUGUGAAUCAGAUUGGUUUAUAGGCUAGAGUAAUAUUUUUUAAUUAGUAAAUUUAGACAGUUUUAAUUUGUAAAAUCAUAUAUCAACAGACAUAUCAAUAAUACAGAAUAAAAAUGUCAGAUAAUGAUCUGAAGAAAACUGCUGAGCUUCUUAGGCAGGCAGCCAGAGAACUGGAAGAAAAAUCUCGAACUACACAGACUCCUACUACUAUAUUACCUGGGCCGUCAACACCAAAUGUCAGCGAAAUGCGCCGUUUGUUUUGUCCCUAUUCUAGUAUUUCGAGGACAAGUAAUAAAAGAGUUGCUGGUACUGGUAGACAGAACACAUGGACUCAUCGUUUUUUUUGUGUGUCAAGUUGCACACAGAACACUGUCCCUGAUCGGUUCGCAAGAAAAGUCACACAGGAUGCUGGACUGGGAGAAAAAAGAAUAACUCUUUUUAAGAAUGAUGAUGCGAAGUAUUUUUCAAAUGAAAUAUAUUCACAUUAUCCAAAAUUGAUAGAUGGAGGAGGGUAUGAUCUAAAUCGUGCCAUAGGAAGAACCAUAAUGGAGUUUAUUGACCCCCCUCCAUCAGGGUACACAAGUGCUUUUCUGGCACAGUCAUACAUUGGACAAGCCAUCAUAUAUAUCAAACCCUUACAGAGAGAUCUGGAUAUUACUAUUAGUGGGACUCCAAAAGGCAUGCAGUCAGAUAUGAUAACACAGGAGUGCAUGGAUUGCGGUGAAAAAGUGCCUUUAAAUAAUUUGAGAAAACAUAUACAAGAAUUUCAUGAGCUUCAGGAAGAUAAUUUACCUAAAAUAAAGAGACAGAAGUCAGAGCAGUUGUCCUCUGUUACUCCUAUUUGUAAAUAUGCUUGUGUAAGUGAGGUGGAAAAAUCAGUACCCAGUGGUUGGAUAUGGAAACAGAUCUCGAAGAUGAUGUUCAACUGAAUACUGGACAUUUUCUUCUGGCAACAACUGGUAGCCCUGCCAUAUCUCCAAAUAUAGGAGAUGGGCUACUACUAUUUGACCAUGAAAAUUUAAACUGCACUACAGUAAAUACAUGUGCGCCAUCUAUUACUAUUAACCAAACGAAAUAUAUGAAAGAAUACGAUUUCCUAGAAAAUGCUUUUAUUAACAUAAUUGUAUGUGCUUAUGGUUUUGGUUUGAAUUGAAAAUGUAUGUAGCAUGAACUGGGCCUCUGUUGGUGAAAUACCCAAUAAAAACCUAUUAAUUGAAAAAAAGCAGUGUUGAUUUCCUAAUUCAUUUCAUGAUAAUUAGAAAUGAAAUUUACGGUUGCAAGAAACAAGUCCAUUCCCUGAUUUUCUGAAUCGAAUAAAGGAUUUAUUUGGCACAUCAAUUCUUCCAUCUUUUGAUCAGUUAAAGAUAUAGGAAAAUGACCAAUAACAACUCUUUCUGGUUCAUCAUCAUAUGCCAUCAAACCAUUUUGUAUUGUUCCGUAACUUUGAAAGUCUGCCUAUAAAAAAAUAUUUAAAAUCUAAUGAACGUCUGUUUGGGAUUGAAUUUAUAGGUUUAUUUAAGAUAUAAGUUUAUUUCAUAUUGUAAACAAGAAUUUUAACGAAACUUGCUGUAGUUGUUUAUACCAGCAUAAGGAAGAAGCCUAUCGAAAUUCAAUGUUUUCCAGAGUUAUUGACCUUGAUUCACGAAACCUUGUAAACGUGAUAGAGACCAGAGUUGCUGUAAUUGUUUAUAAAAAUGGCGAAAAUUAGGUCAAGUCACAAAAUCAUCUGAUUCUGACGAAGCAAGCAAUUAAUUAUAUAUUAUUGAGGUCACUGAUUAUGAAUAUGCUAGUUUAAAAGUUGUAUCUUAUCUUUGAAAAGGUUGAAAGUUUCAUUUUACUAGUUAUUGUGCAUGCCCAUAAAAACUUCUUCUUUACACGAUAGAGAUCACAGUUCUCAACGAAAAGUUUUGAAACUUUCUGGGAUAUAAUAACAGUUGUUGGGGUGUAUAAGGUUGGAGACUUCUAUCUUAUCAUUAACAGAUUAAAUCAUUUGUUUGCUAUGGAAAUUAAAAUAUCCCAAAAUCUCACCCUCCAAUUUUUGAAUAUUUUUAGGCAUAAUCUUAACCACUGUCAAAAAAUGAAAGAUUAUAUUAAUCUGGAUUUCUUGAAUAAACAUAUCAAUGAAAAUA
Patella vulgata (common limpet) is the source of this 2210-nucleotide long non-coding RNA. RefSeq lists it as uncharacterized. Lineage: Eukaryota; Metazoa; Mollusca; Gastropoda; Patellidae. The record is from RefSeq and is a predicted model, not a curated record. The transcript is spliced from 6 exons.